GAUGAAGAACGUAGCGAAAUGCGAUAAGUAAUGUGAAUUGCAGAAUUCAGUGAAUCAUCGAAUCUUUGAACGCACAUUGCGCCCGCCAGUAUUCUGGCGGGCAUGCCUGUCUGAGCGUCAUUUCAACCCUCAAGCAACUUCUGCUUGGUGUUGGGGAUCGGCCGUCAAACGCCGCCCCCGAUAUCUAUUGGCGAUCUCGCUGUAGCUUCCUAUGCGUAGUAGUAACAUCUCGCAUCUGGAGAGCGGCGCGGUCAUGCCGUAAAACACCCAACUUCUCAGGUUGACCUCAAAUCAGGUAGGAAUACCCGCUGAACUUAAGCAUAUCAAUAAGCGGAGGA
Molecule: unclassified non-coding RNA, 338 nt
Filed under: soil metagenome
Description: partial contains 5.8S ribosomal RNA, internal transcribed spacer 2, and large subunit ribosomal RNA
Rfam family: 5.8S ribosomal RNA (bases 1-120)
Source: RNAcentral